AUUGAACGCUGGCGGCAUGCUUUACACAUGCAAGUCGAACGGUAACAGGGUGCUUGCACCGCUGACGAGUGGCGAACGGGUGAGUAAUGCGUCGGAACGCACCGAGUAAUGGGGGAUAACGCAGCGAAAGCUGUGCUAAUACCGCAUACGCUCUGAGGAGGAAAGCGGGGGACCUUCGGGCCUCGCGUUAUUCGAGCGGCCGACGUCUGAUUAGCUAGUAGGUGAGGUAAGAGCUCACCUAGGCGACGAUCAGUAGCGGGUCUGAGAGGAUGAUCCGCCACACUGGGACUGAGACACGGCCCAGACUCCUACGGGAGGCAGCAGUGGGGAAUUUUGGACAAUGGGCGAAAGCCUGAUCCAGCCAUGCCGCGUGUCUGAAGAAGGCCUUCGGGUUGUAAAGGACUUUUGUCAGGGAGGAAAUCCCUAGUGCUAAUAACACUGGGGGAUGACAGUACCUGAAGAAUAAGCACCGGCUAACUACGUGCCAGCCGCCGCAGUAA
This 500-nucleotide ribosomal RNA is filed under the name uncultured bacterium. Its description in RNAcentral is "partial 16S ribosomal RNA". It matches the Rfam family "Bacterial small subunit ribosomal RNA", at positions 30 to 523 of the family's 1533-position model. The record is from RNAcentral.